This is a non-coding RNA of Rhodocollybia butyracea, 82 nucleotides long. The record is from the annotation of a GenBank genome assembly. NCBI's taxonomy places the organism in Eukaryota, Fungi, Basidiomycota, Agaricomycetes, Agaricales, Omphalotaceae.
GGCCUGAUGGUCUAGGAGUAUGAUUCGUUGUUAGGGUUUCGUUCUUUCGACGAGGUCCCGGGUUCAAUUCCCGGUCAGGCCC